Molecule: ribosomal RNA, 456 nt
Filed under: uncultured bacterium
Lineage: Bacteria
Description: bacterial SSU rRNA
Rfam family: Bacterial small subunit ribosomal RNA
Source: RNAcentral
UUUAACUUCCUACGGGAGGCUGCAGUGGGGAAUCUUAGACAAUGCUGGGAAACCCUGAUCUAGCCAUGCCGCGUGAUCGAUGAAGGCCUUAGGGUUGUAAAGAUCUUUCAGGUGGGAAGAUAAUGACUGUACCACCAGAAGAAGCCCCGGCUAACUCCGUGCCAGCAGCCGCGGUAAUACGGAGGGGGCUAGCGUUGUUCGGAAUUACUGGGCGUAAAGCGCACGUAGGCGGAUCAGAAAGUCAGAGGUGAAAUCCCAGGGCUCAACCUUGGAACUGCCUUUGAAACUCCUGAUCUUGAGGUCGAGAGAGGUGAGUGGAAUUCCGAGUGUAGAGGUGAAAUUCGUAGAUAUUCGGAGGAACACCAGUGGCGAAGGCGGCUCACUGGCUCGAUACUGACGCUGAGGUGCGAAAGCGUGGGGAGCAAACAGGAUUAGAUACCCUUGUAGUCGAAUUCU